Molecule: RNase P RNA, 313 nt
Filed under: pig gut metagenome
Description: Bacterial RNase P class A
Rfam family: Bacterial RNase P class A
About the family: Ribonuclease P (RNase P) is a ubiquitous endoribonuclease, found in archaea, bacteria and eukarya as well as chloroplasts and mitochondria. Its best characterised activity is the generation of mature 5'-ends of tRNAs by cleaving the 5'-leader elements of precursor-tRNAs. Cellular RNase Ps are ribonucleoproteins.
Source: RNAcentral
GAAAGGCCGCGCAUGAGGAAAGUCCGGGCUUCACAGGGCAAGGGUAGCUGCUAACGGCAGCCGGAGGCGACUCUAGGGAAAGUGCAACAGAAAGAAACCGCCGUUUUAAACGGUAAGGAUGGAAAGGCGAGGUAAGAGCUCACCAGCGUGUGGGAGACCAUGCGGCUAUGUAAACCCUAUCCGAAGCAACACCGCAAAGGGGCGAAACACCGCUUGCCCGGCGGGCCCCGUCCAGGUGGCUUGAACCCCUCGGCGACGAUGGGUCUAGAAAGAUUGCUGUUUUUAACAGAACUCGGCUUAUAUGCCUGGUCGU